GAAAGCCCACAGCUGAACUGUGGAACUGCCGUUGAUACUGCCGAUCUUGAGUGCGGGAGAGAGAAGCGGAAUUCCAGGUGUAGUGGUGAAAUACGUAGAUAUCUGGAAGAACACCGGUUGCGAAGGCGGCUUCUUGGACCGACACUGACGCUGAGGCGCGAAAGCGUGGGUAGCGAACAGGAUUAGAUACCCUGGUAGUCCACGCUGCAAACGAUGAAUGUUAGAUGUCGGGGGAUUUUUCCUUCGGCGUCAAAGUUAACGCAUUAAACAUUCCACCUGGGAAGUACGAUCGCAAGGUUGAAACUCAAAGGAAUUGACGGGGGCCCGCACAAGCAGUGGAGCAUGUGGUUUAAUUCGAUGCAACGCGAAGAACCUUACCUAGGCUUGAAAUGUGUUCGAUCGGCCGUGAAAGCGACCUUCCUUCGGGCGGACACACAGGUGCUGCAUGGCUGUCGUCAGCUCGUGCCGCGAGGUGUUGGGUUAAGUCCCGCAACGAGCGCAACCCCUACCAUUAGUUGCCACCGGGUAAUGCCGAGCACUCUAAUGGAACUGCCUACGCAAGUAGUGAGGAAGGUGGGGACGACGUCAAGUCCGCAUGGCCCUUACGCCUAGGGCUACACACGUGCUACAAUGGGCGCAACAAUGGGCAGCGAUACCGCGAGGUGGAGCGAAUCCCUAAAAAGCGUCCUCAGUUCGGAUUGGAGUCUGCAACUCGACUUCAUGAAGUUGGAAUUGCUAGUAAUCGCGUAUCAGCAUGACGCGGUGAAUACGUUCCCGGGCCUUGUACACACCGCCCGUCAAGCCAUGGAAGCCGGGGGUACCCAAAGAUAGCGACCCAACCUUCGGGAAGGAGCUAUUUAAG
RNAcentral lists this ribosomal RNA (862 nucleotides) under uncultured organism. Its description in RNAcentral is "bacterial SSU rRNA". It matches the Rfam family "Bacterial small subunit ribosomal RNA", at positions 596 to 1461 of the family's 1533-position model. The record is from RNAcentral.